This 856-nucleotide ribosomal RNA is filed under the name Mycolicibacterium montmartrense. RNAcentral's name for it is "bacterial SSU rRNA". It matches the Rfam family "Bacterial small subunit ribosomal RNA", at positions 56 to 928 of the family's 1533-position model. The record is from RNAcentral. Lineage: Bacteria; Bacillati; Actinomycetota; Actinomycetes; Mycobacteriales; Mycobacteriaceae.
UGCAAGUCGAACGGAAAGGCCCUUCGGGGUACUCGAGUGGCGAACGGGUGAGUAACACGUGGGUGAUCUGCCCUGCACUUUGGGAUAAGCCUGGGAAACUGGGUCUAAUACCGAAUAUGACCGCAUGCUUCAUGGUGUGUGGUGGAAAGCUUUUGCGGUGUGGGAUGGGCCCGCGGCCUAUCAGCUUGUUGGUGGGGUAAUGGCCUACCAAGGCGACGACGGGUAGCCGGCCUGAGAGGGUGACCGGCCACACUGGGACUGAGAUACGGCCCAGACUCCUACGGGAGGCAGCAGUGGGGAAUAUUGCACAAUGGGCGCAAGCCUGAUGCAGCGACGCCGCGUGAGGGAUGACGGCCUUCGGGUUGUAAACCUCUUUCAAUAGGGACGAAGCGCAAGUGACGGUACCUAUAGAAGAAGGACCGGCCAACUACGUGCCAGCAGCCGCGGUAAUACGUAGGGUCCGAGCGUUGUCCGGAAUUACUGGGCGUAAAGAGCUCGUAGGUGGUUUGUCGCGUUGUUCGUGAAAACUCACAGCUUAACUGUGGGCGUGCGGGCGAUACGGGCAGACUAGAGUACUGCAGGGGAGACUGGAAUUCCUGGUGUAGCGGUGGAAUGCGCAGAUAUCAGGAGGAACACCGGUGGCGAAGGCGGGUCUCUGGGCAGUAACUGACGCUGAGGAGCGAAAGCGUGGGGAGCGAACAGGAUUAGAUACCCUGGUAGUCCACGCCGUAAACGGUGGGUACUAGGUGUGGGUUCCUUCCUUGGGAUCCGUGCCGUAGCUAACGCAUUAAGUACCCCGCCUGGGGAGUACGGCCGCAAGGCUAAAACUCAAAGAAAUUGACGGGGGCCCGCACAA